CACGUAGGGUGCGAGCGUUGUCCGGAAUUAUUGGGCGUAAAGAGCUCGUAGGCGGUCUGUCGCGUCGGCUGUGAAAUCCCGAGGCUCAACCUCGGGUCUGCAGUCGAUACGGGCAAACUAGAGUAUUGCAGGGGAGACUGGAAUUCCUGGUGUAGCGGUGAAAUGCGCAGAUAUCAGGAGGAACACCGGUGGCGAAGGCGGGUCUCUGGGCAAUAACUGACGCUGAGGAGCGAAAGCGUGGGGAGCGAACAGG
RNAcentral lists this ribosomal RNA (253 nucleotides) under uncultured bacterium. Its description in RNAcentral is "partial 16S ribosomal RNA". It matches the Rfam family "Bacterial small subunit ribosomal RNA", at positions 524 to 776 of the family's 1533-position model. The record is from RNAcentral.